This 1075-nucleotide long non-coding RNA is filed under the name Salmo salar (Atlantic salmon). RNAcentral describes it as "lncRNA (ENSSSAG00000121741.1)". The record is from RNAcentral. Lineage: Eukaryota; Metazoa; Chordata; Actinopteri; Salmoniformes; Salmonidae.
GUUUCUCUCCUCUGUAGACAGCCUCCAGUGACAGAAUAACUCUGUUUCUCUCCUCUGUAGACAGCCUCCAGUGACAGAAUAACUCUGGUUCUCUCCUCUGUAGACAGCCUCCAGUGACAGAAUAACUCUGUUUCUCUCCUCUGUAGACAGCCUCCAGUGACAGAAUAACUCUGUUUCUCUCCUCUGUAGACAGCCUCCAGUGGCAGAAUAACUCUGUUUCUCUCCUCUGUAGACAGCCUCCAGUCUGCAUGAGAGUGUAUGAAUGUGUUUCUCUGCUAUGAUCCAUAGAGGAAUCUCUCACUCUCUUUUUCUCACUGAUCUCAUUUCCUCUCUCACACCCUCCCUCUCUCUCUACUGUGAUGUAGGAACAAAGAUGUGAUUGGUUAAGGAGGAAGAGGGAGGGGCUGUCAGACAUAACAUCUGGUAGGAGGGUUUGAACUGGUAGAGAUAGAGAGAGAGAGAUGCAGACUUGGACACACACCAUUAUAUCAGGACCUAUAGACACCUGGACCAACCUGGAGAGAACACAGCAUUAUAUCAGGACCUAUAGACACCUGGACCAACCUGGAGAGAACACAGCAUUAUAUCAGGACCUAUAGACACCUGGACCAACCUGGAGAGAACACAGUAUUAUAUCAGGACCUAUAGACACCUGGACCAACCUGGAGAGAACACACUAUUAUAUCAGGAACUAUAGACACCUGGACCAACCUGGAGAGAACACAGUAUUAUAUCAGGACCUAUAGACACCUAGACCAACCUGGAGAGAACACAACAUUAUAUCAGGACCUAUAGACACCUGGACCAACCUGGAGAGAACACAGCAUUAUAUCAGGACCUAUAGACACCUGGACCAACCUGGAGAGAACACAGUAUUAUAUCAGGAACUAUAGACACCUGGACCAACCUGGAGAGAACACAGAAUUAUAUCAGGACCUAUAGACACCUGGACCAACCUGGAGAGAACACAGCAUUAUAUCAGGACCUAUAGACACCUGGACCAACCUGGAGAGAACACAGCAUUAUAUCAGGACCUAUAGACACCUGGACCAACCUGGAGAGAACACAGUAUUGU